Molecule: RNA transcript, 559 nt
Organism: Arachis duranensis
Lineage: Eukaryota; Viridiplantae; Streptophyta; Magnoliopsida; Fabales; Fabaceae
Exons: 3
Source: RefSeq, a predicted model, not a curated record
GCUGGAUUUUGAUAGGAACGUAAAGAUUCUUGCAAUCCUUACCAAUACUGGGGCUGAACAGUGCUGUGACUCUCUAUAAGUUUAGCAUAGGUAUGAUCUCAUCAAGUGUAUCAAUGCUGGUCCAGCGCAUAAGGUGUGGAAGCUCAAAGUACGUGUCAUUAGACUUUGGACCGUUUCUCAAUUUGCAAGAUCUGGGAUGAAGGCACCUAUUGAGAUGGUUGUCCUUGAUGAAGAGGGAGAUACAAUUCAAUGCACUGUAAAAGACAUAUUUGUUCCUAUCUUCGAGGGCUUACUCGCUGAGGGCAACGUGUACGUGGUCACUAAUUUUGGAGUUGCUUUGAAUACUAUCAAGUUCAAGCCUACUAGACACGAAUUUAGGAUCCAUUUCAAGAGGAACACGAUUGUGCGUCCGGUACAAGAUUCUUCAGUUCCAUUGAACGGAUUCAAUUUUGUUCCGUUCAAAACAAUUCAAUCAGAGUCUAAAGAAGAUGGUUAUUUAGUUGGUAAGUACUUUGUUAGAUUAAUCUAUGAUGCAUGUGUUGUUUAAUUCUUUGAAGUC